This 932-nucleotide ribosomal RNA is filed under the name Bacillus licheniformis. Its description in RNAcentral is "bacterial SSU rRNA". It matches the Rfam family "Bacterial small subunit ribosomal RNA", at positions 52 to 964 of the family's 1533-position model. The record is from RNAcentral. Lineage: Bacteria; Bacillati; Bacillota; Bacilli; Caryophanales; Bacillaceae.
UAUAAUGCAGUCGAGCGGACAGAUGGGAGCUUGCUCCCUGAUGUCAGCGGCGGACGGGUGAGUAACACGUGGGUAACCUGCCUGUAAGACUGGGAUAACUCCGGGAAACCGGGGCUAAUACCGGAUGCUUGAUUGAACCGCAUGGUUCAAUUAUAAAAGGUGGCUUUUAGCUACCACUUACAGAUGGACCCGCGGCGCAUUAGCUAGUUGGUGAGGUAACGGCUCACCAAGGCAACGAUGCGUAGCCGACCUGAGAGGGUGAUCGGCCACACUGGGACUGAGACACGGCCCAAACUCCUACGGGAGGCAGCAGUAGGGAAUCUUCCGCAAUGGACGAAAGUCUGACGGAGCAACGCCGCGUGAGUGAUGAAGGUUUUCGGAUCGUAAAACUCUGUUGUUAGGGAAGAACAAGUACCGUUCGAAUAGGGCGGUACCUUGACGGUACCUAACCAGAAAGCCACGGCUAACUACGUGCCAGCAGCCGCGGUAAUACGUAGGUGGCAAGCGUUGUCCGGAAUUAUUGGGCGUAAAGCGCGCGCAGGCGGUUUCUUAAGUCUGAUGUGAAAGCCCCCGGCUCAACCGGGGAGGGUCAUUGGAAACUGGGGAACUUGAGUGCAGAAGAGGAGAGUGGAAUUCCACGUGUAGCGGUGAAAUGCGUAGAGAUGUGGAGGAACACCAGUGGCGAAGGCGACUCUCUGGUCUGUAACUGACGCUAAGGCGCGAAAGCGUGGGGAGCGAACAGGAUUAGAUACCCUGGUAGUCCACGCCGUAAACGAUGAGUGCUAAGUGUUAGAGGGUUUCCGCCCUUUAGUGCUGCAGCAAACGCAUUAAGCACUCCGCCUGGGGAGUACGGUCGCAAGACUGAAACUCAAAGGAAUUGACGGGGGCCCGCACAAGCGGUGGAGCAUGUGGUUUAAUUCGAAGCAACAAGA